AGGGAUAUAGUUAAAUUAACAUUUGAUUUGCAUUCAAAAAAUAUUGAAAUAUCAAUUUUCCUU
This 63-nucleotide transfer RNA is filed under the name Thelaira nigripes. RNAcentral's name for it is "tRNA-Ala". It matches the Rfam family "tRNA". From Rfam's summary of the family: Transfer RNA (tRNA) molecules are approximately 80 nucleotides in length. Their secondary structure includes four short double-helical elements and three loops (D, anti-codon, and T loops). RNAcentral also lists the same sequence under 1 other name. Lineage: Eukaryota; Metazoa; Arthropoda; Insecta; Diptera; Tachinidae. The record is from RNAcentral.